This 200-nucleotide unclassified non-coding RNA is filed under the name soil metagenome. Its description in RNAcentral is "partial contains internal transcribed spacer 2 and large subunit ribosomal RNA". The record is from RNAcentral.
CUGUUCGAGCGUCAUUUAAACCAAUCCAGCUUGCUGGGUGUUGGGCCUUCGCCUCUAGGCGGGCCUCAAAAUCAGUGGCGGUGCUGCCAGGCUCUAAGCGUAGUAAUUCUUCUCGCUACAGGUCCUGGUGGAGGCUUGCCAACAACCCCAAAUUUUCAAAGGUUGACCUCGGAUCAGGUAGGGAUACCCGCUGAACUUAG